RNAcentral lists this microRNA (22 nucleotides) under Pristionchus pacificus. RNAcentral's name for it is "ppc-miR-8303-2-3p". Lineage: Eukaryota; Metazoa; Nematoda; Chromadorea; Rhabditida; Neodiplogasteridae. The record is from miRBase by way of RNAcentral.
UCAAUGCACCGCGUUGACUCCA